This 465-nucleotide ribosomal RNA is filed under the name uncultured bacterium. RNAcentral describes it as "partial 16S ribosomal RNA". It matches the Rfam family "Bacterial small subunit ribosomal RNA", at positions 338 to 795 of the family's 1533-position model. The record is from RNAcentral.
CCUACGGGUGGCUACAGUGGGGAAUAUUGCGCAAUGGGCGAAAGCCUGACGCAGCGACGCCGCGUGAGGGAUGAAGGUCUUCGGAUCGUAAACCUCUGUCAGCAGGGAAGAACGGUCACUGUGCUAAUCAUCAGUGAAUUGACUGUACCUGCAAAGGCAGCACCGGCUAACUCCGUGCCAGCAGCCGCGGUAAUACGGAGGGUGCGAGCGUUAAUCGGAAUUACUGGGCGUAAAGCGCUCGUAGGCGGUAUGUCAAGUCAAGGGUGAAAGCCCCGCGCUCAACGUGGGAACUGCCUUUGAUACUGGCAAACUGGAGUGUGUGAGAGGAUAGUGGAAUUCCAGGUGUAGGAGUGAAAUCCGUAGAUAUCUGGAGGAACAUCAGUGGCGAAGGCGACUAUCUGGAACAUAACUGACGCUGAGGAGCGAAAGCGUGGGUAGCAAACAGGAUUAGAUACCCCGGUAGUC